RNAcentral lists this non-coding RNA (24 nucleotides) under Arabidopsis thaliana (thale cress). Lineage: Eukaryota; Viridiplantae; Streptophyta; Magnoliopsida; Brassicales; Brassicaceae. The record is from RNAcentral.
AAGAAGACACGUGUCGCAAGUGAC